This 424-nucleotide ribosomal RNA is filed under the name uncultured bacterium. RNAcentral describes it as "bacterial SSU rRNA". It matches the Rfam family "Bacterial small subunit ribosomal RNA", at positions 355 to 776 of the family's 1533-position model. The record is from RNAcentral.
UAAGGAAUAUUGGUCAAUGGAGGCAACUCUGAACCAGCCAUGCCGCGUGAAGGAUGAAGGCCCUCUGGGUUGUAAACUUCUUUUGUAAGGGAAGAAAUACAGACAUUCUUGUUUGUUUGACGGUACCUUAAGAAUAAGCACCGGCUAACUCCGUGCCAGCAGCCGCGGUAAUACGGAGGGUGCAAGCGUUAUCCGGAUUCACUGGGUUUAAAGGGUGCGUAGGCGGGCAGGUAAGUCAGUGGUGAAAUCUUCGAGCUUAACUCGGAAACUGCCGUUGAUACUAUCUGUCUUGAAUACCCGGGAGGUGAGCGGAAUAUGUCAUGUAGCGGUGAAAUGCUUAGAUAUGACAUAGAACACCAAUUGCGAAGGCAGCUCACUACAGGGUCAUUGACGCUGAGGCACGAAAGCGUGGGGAUCAAACAGG